AAAUAGUAUACAACGGAAUCAUCCUUUUAUCCCCGAGAUAAUCUGCUCUUUCAAGUUCACUGAACAUGCCAUCGCAGUAAAGUGAACGACAAAUCAAUAGCUCUUAUGUGACAGCCUCUGGAGCAGAGUUGCAAUAUGGUGUGUGCAAGCAAACCAACUUGGUGCACGUUAAGCAGAGAGUAGCAAAACAAACUCCGAUUGCAAGCCCAGAACUGCCUUUUGGUGUAUCCAAACUCAGUGCUCUUUGGAUUAUCCUUCCAAAGCUUGGAAGUAAUCCCCCACACGCUAAAACCAUUAUAUGAUCCAGACCGCUGUAGUCAAUUCCUGCAAGUAUUGCUCCAAUGGCAGACAUUGGACCCAUAAAGCCUAUUAAAGCUGCUGCUGCCAGAGCAUUGUGCCAGCUGUCAGUAGCACCGAAGAUGCAGCUAGCCACAGCAGCACCACGGGGAAGUCCAUGUAAAGAGACGGGAAGGACCAUGUGCCUACCCAGUCCAUAAGCUUUUGGUGCAGCCACUCCUAGUGCAAGUCCUUCUGCCAAUGCAUGGAAGGCAACUGCUCCACAUGAAAGGAAUGAUUGAAGGGUGUGAACACUCAUGGCAAAGCCAGUUAUCGUGGGUAAAUUAUUUGCUGAUGCCCUUUUGCGACCUGCAAGAGUCAAAAUGCUGGAGCUACAGACAUGGACAAAUAAUGCACCUGCAGCAAGCAAAAACAGAAUAGGGAUGACCCCCAUCUUUGAAGACACAAGUAGCUGUAAUGGUCGCCAUGCACCAAGUACAAAGGCGAUGCCAGAUGCUACACCCAUAAGAAGGGCAUGCUGAAGAUGGAAUGCAAGAGCAAAUGCAACAAGAAUGAUGCCACCAAGCAAUGGCCCAAGGCCAAAAAGCAGUGAAACAAAGAAUCCUGAAGCAUCCUCCGCAUUGUAGUCAUGGGUGAAAUUCUGGAACAUGGUGCUUAAAGCUUCCAUAAAUGCGACAGAAAUUGUAGCUGCUGAUGCCACCUGUGAAGGAGAGGCUUCCUUGAAAGCAUCAGGAAGCACUUCAGCAACAACCAUCCAGAUCAUACAUCCAGCAGCAAAGCCAGUACAGAAAGGCAGGAACUUGUUAAAUGCAUCAGCACAUAUGAAUGAAGGAACUGCUACAAUGGGCUGAGGCAAAGAUGUAAUUACACUCCAUAACAUUGCAUUUUGUGGAGAAACACCUCUUGAUGCAAGAACCAUACUCACAGCUAAUCCCUCUGGUAUGUUAUGCACAGCAAUGGCUAAAGUUACCAAAAGGCCUUGAGAGAAACCUUUUGAGCCAGCAAAGGAGACUCCAACACCUGAGCCCUCUCCAAAUGAAUGAAGAGUCAUAAUUCCGAUAACAAGAACAACUUUGGUUGCAUCUGCACCUUUUAUGUCCAACAUACUUACUUCACCGUAUUGUUCAAGAAACUGGAACCCAGAAACGAAGUACAGCACAAUGAGGUCCAAAUUAACAAGGUAAAUAUCAUUGUCAAUUCAUUACAUUACAGAUGAAUUUGUGUUAAUUCUAUGAAUAUGGGGAAAAAUAAUUAAACAUGUCUGUCUAGUAAUAAAAAAAAAAAAAGGCAAAUGUUUCUGAUCCAUAGGGCAAUACAAACUAAAAGCCAAGAAGCACAAGAUGAAUUUCAGCUGAGAACGUAGUAGAUUUAAUAAUUGAAUGUGACACUCCAAGUGGUUACCUUCUUGCAUAGCAAAAUGAAAAUACCACCAGAUAAAAUCCCGAUCACAACCCAAUUACCAGCACCAUGGCUCUGCCCUUCUUGUAUGAGGUCAAAGCUAGCAGCCAACAUCACACCAGCAGCCAUUCCAUUGCAUAAUCCAGCCCACUGAGGAUCCAGCUCUACAAAAAAGAAUGGGACUGCACCUAAACCAGUGGCAGCAGCCAUGGCCAAGGUAAAUAAAGCAACUGUAGAUAUUGAAACUCUGUCAUAAUUGCCCUUCCUAUCACCCAGUUCGCUACUUGUGCUCUCAAAAUCAAUGGCACUCUCUGUACCAGUGCCAUCUAUGACAUUGUUCCCUACAUUUUUAUGUGGUGCGGAUCUUAACCUUUCUGAAGUUUCAAUUGCAGAUUGUGCCAGAAUGCAACCAGAAAACAAUAAGGAGAACAGAAAAAAUAACAAAGCUUUUUUAAAUAUGAACCGCAUUGUUCUUUGCGUGCACCACCAAAACAUUUGCUUCUUUAUAUAGGAUUUCUCAUGUCAAUUAGGCAGCUUUACUGCAAAAGCUCCACUGCAGAUAAAUCUCGGAGGGUAAAAUAUCAGGAGACGCAAAUCUGUUGCCUGAAAUAUGCCAGGAUGAAUAUUUGCUGCAGUUCAAAGUUGAAUAAAUAAAAUUAGUUCAAUAAUGUUUUGGAUAGUCAUAUUACUAAUCCAAUUAUAACAUGAAAUGAAUUCAGACAGUUCCCAUCCGGGAAUCCUGUAUUCAUCUACAACACCACAAGCCUAAAGUCAUUACCAAUCAAUUAGCUAACUCUGAACUGAGAUGACUAUUUUAAGAACAAAUUGAAUCUAACAAAACCCAAAAUUUUCUCGGAAGCAAAUUACACUAGCAGUCAACUAUACAACAGACCAACCACUGUCAUGGGUUCCUCACUUAAAUUCAGAUUGUAAAUGAAUUUUAAGUGACAUAUACCUAAAUGUGAUACGAUCUUCCCAGCAAAGCAAUAACGAGAGGUUUGAUUUCUGCAAAAUUCAUAAACAUAAAUCGCAAAACUCCAGAUUUUCUUUUUUUUUUCCUAGGAUUUCGCAGCAAUCAAAUAAAAAAAAUAUAAUAAUAAUAAU
This 2799-nucleotide unclassified non-coding RNA is filed under the name Hevea brasiliensis (rubber tree). The record is from RNAcentral. Lineage: Eukaryota; Viridiplantae; Streptophyta; Magnoliopsida; Malpighiales; Euphorbiaceae.